GUGGGGAAUAUUGGACAAUGGGGGCAACCCUGAUCCAGCGAUGCCGCGUGAGUGAUGAAGGCCUUCGGGUUGUAAAGCUCUUUUGUGAGGGAGGAUGAUGACGUUACCUCACGAAUAAGCCCCGGCUAACUUCGUGCCAGCAGCCGCGGUAAUACGAAGGGGGCUAGCGUUGUUCGGAAUGACUGGGCGUAAAGCGUGCGCAGGCGGUGAUGUAAGACAGUCGUGAAAUCCCCGGGCUCAACCUGGGAAUUGCGAUUGUGACUGCAUCGCUGGAGUGCGGCAGAGGGGGAUGGAAUUCCGCGUGUAGCAGUGAAAUGCGUAGAUAUGCGGAGGAACACCGAUGGCGAAGGCGGCUCACUGGCUCGAUACUGACGCUGAGGUGCGAAAGCGUGGGGAGCAAACAGGAUUAGAAACCCCUGUAGUCC
RNAcentral lists this ribosomal RNA (425 nucleotides) under uncultured bacterium. RNAcentral describes it as "bacterial SSU rRNA". It matches the Rfam family "Bacterial small subunit ribosomal RNA", at positions 354 to 796 of the family's 1533-position model. The record is from RNAcentral.